UGGGGUAUAGCUCAAGUGGUAGAGUGCAUGCUUAGCAUGCAUGAGGUCCUGGGUUCAAUCCCCAGUACCUCCU
Molecule: transfer RNA, 73 nt
Filed under: Camelus bactrianus (Bactrian camel)
Lineage: Eukaryota; Metazoa; Chordata; Mammalia; Artiodactyla; Camelidae
Also listed under: 2 other names
Rfam family: tRNA
About the family: Transfer RNA (tRNA) molecules are approximately 80 nucleotides in length. Their secondary structure includes four short double-helical elements and three loops (D, anti-codon, and T loops).
Source: Rfam by way of RNAcentral